This 442-nucleotide ribosomal RNA is filed under the name uncultured bacterium. RNAcentral's name for it is "partial 16S ribosomal RNA". It matches the Rfam family "Bacterial small subunit ribosomal RNA", at positions 338 to 795 of the family's 1533-position model. The record is from RNAcentral.
CCUACGGGUGGCAGCAGUGGGGAAUAUUGGGCAAUGGGCGCAAGCCUGACCCAGCAACGCCGCGUGAAGGAAGAAGGCUCUCGGGUUGUUAACCUCUUUUGAUAGCGAAGUGUAGAAGACGGUACCUGUCGAAUUAGCAAUGGCUAACUACGUGCCAGCAGCUGCGGUAAUACGUAGGUCGCAAGCGUUAUCCGGAAUUACUGGGUGUAAAGGGAGUGUAGGCGGGUUGACAAGUCAGAUGUGAAAUACUGGUGCGUAACCGAAGAACGGCAGUUGAGACUGUGGAUCUUGAGUAUUGAAGAGGCAGACGGAAUGCGUAGUGUAGCGGUGAAAUGCAUAGAUAUUACGAAGAACACCGGUGGCGAAGGCAGCCUGCUGGACAGCAACUGACGGUGAGGCGCGAAAGCGUGGGGAGCAAACAGGAUUAGAUACCCCAGUAGUC